Molecule: ribosomal RNA, 443 nt
Filed under: uncultured bacterium
Lineage: Bacteria
Description: bacterial SSU rRNA
Rfam family: Bacterial small subunit ribosomal RNA
Source: RNAcentral
CAGGAUGAACGCUGGCGGCGUGUCUAAGGCAUGCAAGUCGAACGGGCCUCGCAAGAGGUCAGUGGCAGACGGGUGCGUAACACAUUGGUAACCUGCCCUCAUCACGGACACAACCUGGAGAAAUCCGGGCUAAUAUCCGAUGUGCUCACCCCGCAUCUGCGGGGUGCGUAAAGGUUGGCGCAAGCCAAUCGGAUGAGGAGGGGCCUAUGGCCCAUCAGCUUGUUGGUGAGGUAAUGGCUCACCAAGGCGACGACGGGUAGCGGGCGUGAGAGCGCGACCCGCCUCACUGGGACUGAGACACUGCCCAGACUCCUACGGGAGGCUGCAGUCAAGAAUAUUCCCCAAUGGCCGAAAGGCUGAGGGAGCGACGCCGCGUGAUCGAUGAAGCCCUUCGGGGUGUAAAGAUCUUUUACUAGGGACGAAUCUAUGACGGUACCUAGUGA